RNAcentral lists this ribosomal RNA (253 nucleotides) under uncultured bacterium. RNAcentral's name for it is "partial 16S ribosomal RNA". It matches the Rfam family "Bacterial small subunit ribosomal RNA", at positions 524 to 776 of the family's 1533-position model. The record is from RNAcentral.
UACGUAGGGGGCAAGCGUUGUCCGGAAUUAUUGGGCGUAAAGGGUGCGUAGGCGGCCUUUCAAGUCGGAUGUGAAAUCCCCGUGCUUAACAUGGGAAUUGCAUUCGAAACUGGAGGGCUUGAGUGUGGAAGAGGUAAGUGGAAUUCCCAGUGUAGCGGUGAAAUGCGUAGAUAUUGGGAGGAACACCAGUGGCGAAGGCGACUUACUGGGCCACAACUGACGCUGAUGCACGAAAGCGUGGGGAGCAAACAGG